AACCAUUCUCACCUGCGGCUAGACCUGCGGAGGGAUCAUUACCUAGAGUUGUAGGCUUUGCCUGCUAUCUCUUACCCAUGUCUUUUGAGUACCUUACGUUUCCUCGGCGGGUUCGCCCGCCGGUUGGACAAAACUUAAACCCUUUGUAGUUGCAAUCAGCGUCUGAAAAAACUUAAUAGUUACAACUUUCAGCAAUGGAUCU
Molecule: unclassified non-coding RNA, 202 nt
Filed under: soil metagenome
Description: partial contains 5.8S ribosomal RNA, internal transcribed spacer 2, and large subunit ribosomal RNA
Source: RNAcentral